UUUUUUUUUUUUUUUUUUUUUUUUUUAACAAGCCCUCAUUACAAAGAGGUUAUUUAUAGUGUUAUUCUAAUAAGAAGCUAAAACAGAGCAGCCUUUUAUUAGAACUCGCAAUAAAGGGCAUUACACUGAGGCCUCCCUGUAAAUACCACUUACUGUGCAAAAGUUGGCCUGGGUAUUAGCAGAGAGUUCAUUUAGCUAGGAAGGUUUUAAAGAGUUUAAGCAGCAUUCAUUCAAUUAAUUCCACAUGUGACAAUGGCAUUUUAUCCUAACUAUUUAAGAACUCAGAAAUUAGGAAAAAAAAAAACCAAAAAGAGAAACUGUUCCCUUACGAGCUUCAUCUGAAGAGUUUUAUUAAAAGUCCUGUAAGUUUGCCUGUUUGAAAAUAUCCAUCUAAAACAGCCUUUCUGCAGUUCAAAUACAGAAAAUUCUGAGAUAAUAAUAAUAAUAAUAAUACCCUUGUCUUCUAGGUGAAUAUAAGUGGGUGAGAGAAAGCAGCAGAGGAGCUCCUUUUGGCUCACUCCUCUGCAGUGAAGGUGUUUUCUGUAAGUCCUGACCGAGGCAUCUUCAGCCAGGGAAUCUGAGGGACAGGGCCUUGGCCCCUCCUGAGCACAGGCUCCUGGAGGGUAUGCUUUGUUUCAAAUAACCCAUGAAUAAAUUACGGGAUUAAGGCAGUUUUCUCUGUCUCUUGAAGUCGUUGGAGUGCAGGUGAAGAGCAGCCCCCAGGCUCCAGAAACAUGCUCAAAAUCUGGCUUAGGGAUGGAGCAUCCCGCUCACCCCUGCUGCUCCUGGUGCUGCUGGCCCCGUGCCCAAAUACAUCCAUGCUCUCUACACUAAUUUUUGGGCUUGGGCUGCAGAACAGGUGCUUUCUCUCUCCCCCCCGCAAGUGCAAUAACGUGUUGCGUUAACAGCCGCAAGUGCAGCUUCGGGGAGUUUUUGAGGAAAGGGGGAAGGAGGGGCAGACGAGAGAGAAGAAAUCGAGGAGACAGAUGUGCGUGUCCGAAGGAGACAGGCGGAUUUCGCUGGUGCGGCGGGCAGGGACGGUGCCAGCUGCCCGCUGUGCCGGAGCAUCUCCCCGGAGCCGCGCUCCCCGAGCUCCGCCGCCGCCGGCUCCCGGGGAGAACCGGGGCUGGAAAUGCACCCGCCCGCCGCCGAGCGGCACCAAGGCACCGAGGCACGGCGAGGUCCUCAAAAACAUACCCCAUCAAGGCGGCAAGACGGGAAACCGGGCUUUUCCCUCUCUGCCAGCAGGAGGGGGGUGGAGGGGACGCUGCCCGGGGAACCCCUUAGAGCCUGUCCGAGGAGCGUGAGGCAGCCGGAUUCGCUCCUGCUGAUCACACGCAAAUGACUGGAAAACUAGUGGGUCUGCAAGGGAGACUUCUCAGUUCUUAAGCAAUAGCAAGGAAAAGGUUUCUAGAGCGGCAGGGUGAGUUAUACAGCGAGGAAGGGAAAUUCCAGCCCAAAUUCCAGCUUUUGUCUCAAGCUUCCCUCCUUGCAUGUCACUAUGUACCAGGCAUGCCUGUAGAUGGCGAAGCCAGUCUGGUGCACAAGUAACUUCACUGACUUUAAAAAAAUCUGUUCUUUUGUUCACAUAAAAACUAGGGAAAAUUAAUUAUGCCGAGGGCUUUGGAUACCCAAGAAAUCCACGUUAAUGGAGCAGAGUUAUACCCCUCAAAAAUCUCACUGCAUGCUUUGGUAACAUCCUCAAGGCGCAUAGGACUCUUUGAACCAUGGAUGCAGGGACAAACUAAACACAGAGCAAGUUACUCUGAUGUAGAAAAGAUCCCAUACAUCUGCCAGUGGUAUAACAACAAACAAUUUUGGAGAGUCUGGAUAUGUUUGUUUUUAAUUGCUUGUAAACUCUGUUAAAAAGAGAGACAUUUUUAAUAUUUUCAUUUAUGUAAGCUGCUACUAAUAUUUAAAUAAGCAAAGUCAUCUUUACUCCUCACAAAGGCAAUGAACUGAGAGUUCAGGCUUAUUUAUCCAGGCAUUCUAGAAUACAGGAAUGCUAGUGAAGCAGUAUUAUUGAACAUAGCAAAACAUUUUGCAUUAGACAAGAUUAAGAAAUGCUUAUACCAUUUAGUGUGGGGAUAAAACCAUCAUAUUUAAUGGUUGUUUAAGGUGAAGCUGGGGAUCUCUAGCUACUCUUACAACUCCAUUUUCUAUUAACUGAAAAAAAUGGAGCACUGAGAAAUGGUUGGGAUUUUCUAGUUAAGAUCUUCAUGUGACCCAAGCUGUAAAGAAUACUGAACUCAUUUUCUUGUUUCUACUGUGCAAGUGUGCAAUAUAUCCUAGGUUUAAUUCAGUGGUUUUCAUACAGAUGUUUACUAGGACAAAACUAAUUAAAAAUAAGUAUUUAAUUGGCUUAUCUUCUUUUGGCAUUCAAUAUGGGCCUGGAGGAAAGGUUUCCAACAGCCUAUGCUGUGCAGUAACUCCUUCCCUUUCACUUCAAAAAAAUGAGAGCGUGUUAUGAAUUCUGAAGCCAUUUCAGUAUGCCAUUAAGCUGAUGCUUAUGAGUUUUGUUCUGAUGCUGUUGCUAUGCCAAUUUGAGACAGGAAAACAGUCUCUAAGCAUUUACUGAAAACAUUGCUCAUCAACUGGAAAAAAAAAGAAAACAGGGAAAAAAUCCAGACAUCAAUCUGGUACUUGAAGAGAAACACAAGCUCCCCUGUUCUGGCAGCCGGUUCUCCCACAUGUACACAGAGCCCUCUCCCUGCCAUUGUGAAAUAUCCACAUAUGUCAAGCACCCAAAAAUGUAGCGAAGAGCAAAAGAGCAUUGUACAGAGGCUUUCUUGCCACUCCUCACAGGCAGUCACAGUGUUGCUGAGUUGAUGCCCAACAUCUUUACUAAGCUCAGGCCAGACUGGGACAACAACAUUUUUCUCCCUAAGAGCUGAUGAGCACAAAUCCUGAACCCAAACAUAGAAAGAGCAGUUAAACGCUAUUUACUGUGUGAUUUAGACAGUUUAAAUCUGCCCUCUGAGCAUCCUUUUCGACCAUGAGAAAUUAGUUUUUACACUGCCUUAGGCCUUUUGUGCCCUGGCCACAUGCUGAAGGAAGACAUUGCAGGUGGAUAGAGUGUGCAAUUGGCUGAGGAGGUGAUGUGAUUUAAUUGUGCAGGCUCCAGGCAAAAUGCUAACUGUCAGGCAGGACCAGAUGCUGCUGUAGUCCCAGCUCUGGGCAUCCCUCAAGGGUAGAGUUAAUGGUAUGUGGCACCAGGGAUUGCAAAACAGCAUAGCUUUUUCCAUCCAUAGUAAACCAUGCUUCUUCUCAUGAAAUGUCUCAGCAUUUAGUUGAAGUAUAUUUAGAAGCAUUCAUGUUUGCUAAAACAACACAAAAAAACCCCCCUCAAACUCAUUUGAACUCUCAUUCGUAGUGAAGUAUUAACAUACUUUUAUCCAAAGUAAAAGUCAAGAACAAGGCUUUGGUUUUCUAAUCUUUUUUGGGAAUCAUAGUUCUUCUUUGUUUCUACCAUUUUGUUCAAACUCGUGACAUCAUACGGUUACUUAUUGUAUUAAUAUUUAUUUUAUGUGCCAAAAAGAGUUUAAGAGCAUCAGAAAAGGGAAUUUGGAUACUUUGCUUAGUGUUUAUCCAUGGGAAAGUUUCACUUCUGGUUCUCAGUUUGAAGAAAGUUCUCAGAACACAAGAAACUCCUGCUUCUGACCAGCUGUUCUCUAAAGAUCAGUCUGUGUUAAGUUAAGGUUGCUGCAGUCACCCCAGCCCCUCCACCCCUCUCCCUGCCCUCGCAUGAUGACUCAACUUCUAAUGACACAAUCACACAUGGGUUUUUCCACAGCACCUGUCCCAUUUGACAGCCUGUAAUGAAUGAAAGGGUUGAGCAAUGUUUAUUUUUAUCUUCUCUUUUCUAUUUGAGCUCUGCUUUGGGGACAACUGUCAAAAGCAUAUUUAACCACUCUCUUAUAAAGACUUGCAUGCAUUCCUCCAGUUGCAUCCCUGUGCAAAACUGACCUUCAGAGUUACAGCUAAGUAAAGUCACAAUUUCCAAGUAGAAGACAAUUUUACUUUAUUUUUCUGAUUAAAGAAGAGAGCCAGCAGCAUUUUGCAUUUCUCACAAGGGAACAUUUCAUCUUUGGGGGGAAAAUGGAGCUCUUCCAGCUCUUCCUCAGCACUGUAGUUUUAAUAGAGAGAGUCAUCCUGCCCCAUUCCACACAGGAAUGCUAUUACAGGUAUUGUAUGUAAAAUGUUCAGCAAGACAGCUGGACAUGGGACUGAGGGAUGCUCACACAGACAAUGCAAGCUGUGUCAACAAGCACUAGCUUAACAAGCAUGUAGGCACAACUGCAAAAAUAAACAUUUCUUGUGCUUCCUUGAUCCUUUUUAAACGAUUGAUUGUCACAUCACUCUCGGUUUUCUUUCGUGGUUGUUCUCUAUCACAAGGAGUCUCAUUUCCUUGUGCUGUUUUUCUUCUAUCUGCUCCCAUACUGGGAAGGUUUGACAGGAGCCUGACCAAGGAGGAGCUGGUAGAGAGCCUGAAGAGAUGCAAAACCUCAGCCCCUUCUCUUACCCCAAACUUUCCUCCUCAGUCCCGGCUAUUCUUCCCCUGGAAACCCACCCACUUCCACUGAAUGUUUGCAGGCAGAAGAACUUCUUCUGUGUGUGCACAGCCAUGACAGGCAGCAGCACACGUGUCUGCCAGCUCCGGCUCAUCGGGCAUGCUUGGCCAGCAGAAAUAGCAAAAUGCAUGCCCUUCCAGUAUAAGAAACCUGCAGUGAAACCUUUGCUAGGUAUGAUGCUUGCACAGGCAAGAGCAUGAGUAUUUACAUCCAUUUGUUAAGUGCUUUCACUUCUCCACUUAGCAGGAGGAGCAAAUAGGAUGGCCAUUCAGGGGCUGUGCAGGGGAUCAAACCUUUGGCUUUGUGUGCUUUAGAACUGUGGCUUCCAUCUACUUACAUCAGUCCCUUUUUACAGAUUAGUUGCUCAAACCUCCAUGACCGGGUAGUAGUGGAGCGAUUGGCCAAAGGGGACUGUAUCAUUCUUUAUCCAUUACCAGAGUCAUUGCUUUCCCUGGCAUUGCUUUUCCCUGGCUUUUCCUAACACAUGCAAGCACCUGCAGUCCCUAUUUGUACAGUUGUGUGUCCUUCAGGGAAGCUGCUCACCUAACCUGACCUUGUCAGAUGCCUGCACUGUGUUGCAGGUGAGUAAAAGGAAAAUGUUUCUGGAUGCGGCCGUGUCCAGUGACUCCAGCUGCACUGCACACUGCUCUGCUUUCAGCGUGUGGUAAGAGAAAGCAGAAAGUAAAGACAACAUUUACAGUGAUCAGUGGGAAAAAGAGUGGGAGGCUUUAUUGAAAAUCUCUUCUCCAGAUAUUAUUCACGUUCACAUCUAAGCGUGGUUUUUCAGGGACCUGCCCAUCUUGCCUCCCUUUCCUCUCCCACAGAUUUCUGCUCAGUAGGUACCACAGGGGUAAAGCAGUCUUUAUCUGAGACCUUUGUUCAUUAGCUAUCAGUGGUUACUACCAUAGGAGGCUCACAGGUAAGAUCAAGGCUUCAUUUUUCCAGGUGAUGUAUCCAUAAAGAUGUUGCAGGUUCCUGCUGUAGGCCUGGCCCCGAAAUGAGGCAGGAGGUCACAGCAAGCUUUGAAAUACCAGCCCCAGCUGCUACCUCAAGGUUCAAUUUAACCAGCACAGUUCCCCAGAGAGUGACAUUACCAAGAUCUCUUGGUGAGCUGACUCCACAGGCUGGAAUGGGAGAAUAGUAUUUCAAAUGAGUGGACUGGAAGAGUUCAAAGGAAUAAUAAGCAUUUAAAUUCAACAUGAAAGACAUCUUCCUCUGCAGAGCUUUAGCAUGGAAUGUAGCCAGGCAGAUAAGCUUUUUAAAAGCCCCUUUAAUCAAGACUAUUAACAUGGAGAUUUUUGUCAUAAUUAAAAACAUCCCCUUAUUCAAUCACCUUAAAGGGAAAGUGAUACAAAAUGUAAUUUAUUUUUCUAUUUGAAUCCCUUAUAAAAGAACAGAAAAAACAUUUUUUUCCUUGCAGGCAAUCACAUUGUCAUUAAAAUUAUCUUUGAGAGAAGAUUCAUUCAUGCUCAUAUUUUAGCUCGUAGUGAACUGCUGCACUUGUAUUUCAACAAAAAAGUUAGAAAGCCUACAUUUUUACUUCCCAAGUGUUCCAUUUUCUGACCAUAAGCAAUGGUGAAAUAAGUUAAAAGGAAAAUUUUUCUUCUCACAUAUUUCCUGAUAUCUCAGAAGAUGCUGUAGAAAACAGCAUCAUGUCAGCUCAUGUAGAAAGCAUACUUUCUUUUUUGGUGUUUUUUUGGGGGGCUUUUUUAUGCAUUUGGAAAUAAACCACAUUAAAAAAAGCCUACCUACUUCGCAGAAGGCAAAGCAGACAAAAUAGCAUCAUGCACUUGUACUCAGCUAAGCUUGUGAGUACCAGAAAUGGAAGAUGACACUUCAGGAGAUACAGAGUACUACCAAUGCACCUCUGUCCUUUCCUAAUUCAGGAGCUCUUAAUCCUGUCUGCUGUGGGAAUCCCUUCUUCCCUCUAAGAUAGCUGUUGACUAUUCAGCUCACAAUGAUGAAGAAUAGAAGAAAAAUUAAUAGGACCAGAGAAACUUUCUCAAAGCACCCACAGCAAGGAUGCUUCACGCAGAGACAUGGCAUCUGAAUGGAAAUAGGUGGUCCUUAGCAGGACAAGAGUUGCUGUUCACUUUGUUUUCAGGCAGAUUCGCAGACCUGAGUGGUUACAGAGGAAGAGCAGCAUAUGGGACAUGCGUGAAACCUCACUGAGCCUCCCACGCAAUGCUAAGCCAGCUAGCUAAGAACCUAAUUCUGGGCAGGGAAAAUAUCACCAUCUGACAGAGCUUUGCCAGUGUGAAGCAGCAUUUCUCACAAGCUGAGAAGCUGUUCAAUGGUACAGCUGUGGUGAAUUUGAGGAUGUAUCCUGUUGAUCUUACUAGAACCAAAGAGAUUUCAGAGUCCUUUGCUUGUCAUGCUCCUAUUGCUUUGCACUCCUCAGAUUUUUAGAAAAUGUUUUUGCUUUGAAUCCUUCUUCAUUUCAAACUGAUAUUGACUGAACUGGAAGAUCCAGAAGGAGCAUAAAUCACAAUAUAUCAUAUACACCAGCUCAGUGCUAACUCUGGUUUAUAGCACAGCUGUGUGCUAACCCAGCUCUGUUGUUUUGUCCCUGGAACUUGACUGGCCAGCUUCUGCAAAAAGCCUUUUGUUGGACUUCAAAACCUGAAAAUAAAUUUGAAAAUUCCAACGUUCUGAAUGAAGCCUUGAGCAGUGCACUUUCAAGGUGCAUCUUACCCUCUCAUGGUGUUGAAAGUGAUCAAACAUCUCCUUACCUGAAUUGAAAAUGCUGAAGCAGCUGCAUAACCAAGCAUCUGCUUGAUAAGGUGGGACAUCCCCAUGCAAGCACCCAUCUGUACAGCCCUGGUGUAAGUGCCCUGUCUGAGCCAGAGAACAUAUGCUGAAUGGCAACUACCAUAUGAGAUUGCUGCCUGACAGGGCUCUUCAAAGAUCAAGAUCACCCUCCACUAAAAAUAUUAGAUAUGUGUAUUUUGUUCUAUAGAUCUGUAUGGGUUCAGAGCAGCAUCUACCUUUUUACAAGUGAGGAGCACCUGCAUCACCAUAGCUAUUUAUAUUAUAAACUUCAUAUCAGCUUUUCCAAGCAGGUCUAAAUCACAGACAACCUCUUGCUUUCCUUGGCAACUUAGUCCUCUACCUUCACCCUUCAGAAACUUGAUGAAAUAUGCUAAUUUCCACCAGGCUCUAUCUGUUCCUGUUCCUUAGAAGGUGUCUGUGCAGGCCACAAGCUGAAUAGAGCUGUGCCAGCUUAUGGCAGCAGGCAUCAGCUGUGGUAUGACUUGCUUACCAAGCCUUGAGCACUGCCAUGUUCUGCCCUGUGCAUUACAGGCAGCCUUUCCUUGGGGGUACAUGUCUGGAGGAACAGAAAAAGCAGGAUCCACCUGAGGUGCUUGGAUGGUUCCUAGGCAUUGAAUCUAUUUAGUCACUACUUGAAACUGAAUCUAUUUGAGGGCUGCUUGAUGACUUUAUUUAAUAAAAAGGCUCUUGUUUAAUGCUGGUUACUCUUACAUUUAGUGAAAAAAGAGAGAUUAUUUCCAAUAUUGUCUCCUCGGAUAAGAAGAAUUAGCUGCUUUUGCUGAUAUAAUCUCCUCUUAGUAAGUAACCAAGAAAGAUUCAUUAUUGUCUCCUGAACCUAAAGAAAUGUCAAAGGUAUUAAAACAUUGACAUUUUGUUGCAGUGAGAUCUGUGAGAUAAACCAGUAAGCUGCCUGAAGGCAAGAUCUGAGAUUACUCACCUGAUUCUGUUGUUGUGAUAUGUAUGGCAUUGUGGCAUAAAAUUGCUGUGAGUCACCCCCUCCCCUGUCAAGGUUCACACAAAUAUCUGUGCACCAUUUAUCAUGGUUAUAAUGGACUCAAAAGAAACAGAACUAGAAACUGAGAGCUGUUUGUGGUGCUGAUUUUCAGAACAAAAUAUGACCUUGCUAGAACCUGUAUUUUUUUUUUUAGCAGUGCCAAAUAAAUGCUGCACAUGACCUUAUCAGAUGAUGCUGAAAAAAAAACCAGUAUUAAAUCAUUUGGGUUCAGCCAGUUGGUACUCAGAAUCAUCUAAACACCCUAAAAAAAGAUUAUUUCUCCUAAAUUAAUUUCUUUUCUUCCACCUAUCUUUCCUGGUCCCAUUUUUAUUUUAUUACAGUCCUUUUCAAGUCCAUUGAGAAGACAACAUGAAAAAAUCCUUGCCUUAUGAAAAGACUUGUCCUGUCUGAGUGUCCAAGAUACCCAUUCUUCUUGUUCACCUUCUGGGGACUGUGUCUACUGUCCAGCUGUAGCUCUGUCCUUCAGCCUUGUGCCUUUAAGCUUACCAUGGCCCAUAUUUCUGAACCUGUUUGAGUUAAACCACACAGAGGCAGGCAGUUGUCAUCCAGCAUGUAGCAGCACCCUGGGUUUCUCUCUUUGCUGCCCAGGACAGCCUGGGGAAUGCCCUUGGCUUGUUUCACCCUUCCUCCAGGUUGCCUGAAACUGUCACAGAUCACAGCGGGACAGACAUUCCACCAGCACAUUUCUUCCCUUUCACUGAGUAUAUGUUUUAGAGGCAAUAAAUACUUUUGGGCUUUCAAAAAAAAAAAAAAAAAAAAAAAAAC
Molecule: long non-coding RNA, 9123 nt
Organism: Taeniopygia guttata (zebra finch)
Lineage: Eukaryota; Metazoa; Chordata; Aves; Passeriformes; Estrildidae
Source: Ensembl